GGCAGCAGUGGGGAAUCUUCGGCAAUGGGCGAAAGCCUGACCGGGCAACGCCGCGUGAAUGAUGAAGGCCUUCGGGUUGUAAAAUUCUGUUAUAAGGGAAGAACGACUUUAGUAGGAAAUGGCUAAAGUGUGACGGUACCUUAUGAGAAAGCCACGGCUAACUACGUGCCAGCAGCCGCGGUAAUACGUAGGUGGCAAGCGUUAUCCGGAAUUAUUGGGCGUAAAGAGCGCGCAGGUGGUUGAUUAAGUCUGAUGUGAAAGCCCACGGCUUAACCGUGGAGGGUCAUUGGAAACUGGUCGACUUGAGUGCAGAAGAGGGAAGUGGAAUUCCAUGUGUAGCGGUGAAAUGCGUAGAGAUAUGGAGGAACACCAGUGGCGAAGGCGGCUUCCUGGUCUGUAACUGACACUGAGGCGCGAAAGCGUGGGGAGCAAACAGGAUUAGAUACCCUGGUAGUCCACGCCGUAAACGAUGAGUGCUAGGUGU
This 484-nucleotide ribosomal RNA is filed under the name uncultured Bacillota bacterium. RNAcentral describes it as "bacterial SSU rRNA". It matches the Rfam family "Bacterial small subunit ribosomal RNA", at positions 347 to 823 of the family's 1533-position model. Lineage: Bacteria; Bacillati; Bacillota. The record is from RNAcentral.